CGUACACUCCUACGGGAGGCAGCAGUGGGGAAUAUUGCACAAUGGGCGCAAGCCUGAUGCAGCCAUGCCGCGUGUAUGAAGAAGGCCUUCGGGUUGUAAAGUACUUUCAGCGGGGAGGAAGGCGAUAAGGUUAAUAACCUUGUUGAUUGACGUUACCCGCAGAAGAAGCACCGGCUAACUCCGUGCCAGCAGCCGCGGUAAUACGGAGGGUGCAAGCGUUAAUCGGAAUUACUGGGCGUAAAGCGCACGCAGGCGGUCUGUCAAGUCGGAUGUGAAAUCCCCGGGCUCAACCUGGGAACUGCAUUCGAAACUGGCAGGCUAGAGUCUUGUAGAGGGGGGUAGAAUUCCAGGUGUAGCGGUGAAAUGCGUAGAGAUCUGGAGGAAUACCGGUGGCGAAGGCGGCCCCCUGGACAAAGACUGACGCUCAGGUGCGAAAGCGUGGGGAGCAAACAGGAUUAGAUACCCGAGUAGUCCCAUG
This 478-nucleotide ribosomal RNA is filed under the name uncultured organism. RNAcentral's name for it is "partial 16S ribosomal RNA". It matches the Rfam family "Bacterial small subunit ribosomal RNA", at positions 330 to 799 of the family's 1533-position model. The record is from RNAcentral.